UGUUGAUCUACACGGACGAACGGGCCCGGGAGCAGGCCCAAUCCGAAACGGUCCAGCAGAUGUACGAGGCGUACGCCCGAUUCGGUCAGGAGCACGGCUCCAAGAUCCGGGCCGGGGAGGAGCUCGAGCCCACGGCCACCGCCACGACCGUGAGGGUCGACGGCGGUCCGGGGGGCGACGUGGUGACCACCGAUGGGCCCUUCGCGGAGACGAAGGAGCAGCUCGGAGGGUUUUACAUCAUCGAGGCGGACGACCUGGACGAGGCCAUCCAGGUCGCGGCCGGGAUCCCGUCGGCUGCGUUCUUCAUCGAUGC
RNAcentral lists this unclassified non-coding RNA (313 nucleotides) under uncultured Ascomycota. RNAcentral's name for it is "sequence contains ITS1". Lineage: Eukaryota; Fungi; Ascomycota. The record is from RNAcentral.